GCCGAGCUUCGCAACGUGAGCUUGUAACCCAAGUGGGGGCUUUGAGGUAUUGGAACAUUGGCCCAGUAUUAGCUGGUCGGGUUCAGGUUGGCUAUCUUCUGGCCCGCCCAUUCCAAGCCAGGAGUUGAACCUUGUGGCUUGAGCGAAGGCUCUCGGUCACUGGGUUACUAGAGAGGAGGGCACUGCGUAAGGCUGGCUUCACAGAGCAACGACUACCUCCCGCUCUUGGCAGUGGAAGGAUAACGGGUCGGUGCCGCUUGGAUCCACCAUGGCCAGCUAGACUGUCCCAGUUGAACCAAAACCUUU
RNAcentral lists this signal recognition particle RNA (306 nucleotides) under Prunus dulcis (almond). RNAcentral describes it as "sRNA ncRNA". It matches the Rfam family "Plant signal recognition particle RNA". Lineage: Eukaryota; Viridiplantae; Streptophyta; Magnoliopsida; Rosales; Rosaceae. The record is from Rfam by way of RNAcentral.